RNAcentral lists this ribosomal RNA (472 nucleotides) under uncultured bacterium. RNAcentral's name for it is "bacterial SSU rRNA". It matches the Rfam family "Bacterial small subunit ribosomal RNA", at positions 355 to 825 of the family's 1533-position model. The record is from RNAcentral.
UGGGGAAUAUUGGACAAUGGGCGAAAGCCUGAUCCAGCCAUGCCGCGUGUGUGAAGAAGGUCUUCGGAUUGUAAAGCACUUUAAGUUGGGAGGAAGGGCAGUAAGUUAAUACCUUGCUGUUUUGACGUUACCGACAGAAUAAGCACCGGCUAACUCUGUGCCAGCAGCCGCGGUAAUACAGAGGGUGCAAGCGUUAAUCGGAAUUACUGGGCGUAAAGCGCGCGUAGGUGGUUUGUUAAGUUGGAUGUGAAAGCCCCGGGCUCAACCUGGGAACUGCAUCCAAAACUGGCAAGCUAGAGUACGGUAGAGGGUGGUGGAAUUUCCUGUGUAGCGGUGAAAUGCGUAGAUAUAGGAAGGAACACCAGUGGCGAAGGCGACCACUUGGACUGAUACUGACACUGAGGUGCGAAAGCGUGGGGAGCAAACAGGAUUAGAUACCCAAGUAGUCCCUGAGCGGGCUGGCAAGGCGCAU